This 397-nucleotide ribosomal RNA is filed under the name uncultured bacterium. RNAcentral's name for it is "partial 16S ribosomal RNA". It matches the Rfam family "Bacterial small subunit ribosomal RNA", at positions 523 to 918 of the family's 1533-position model. The record is from RNAcentral.
AUACGUAGGGGGCGAGCGUUGUCCGGAAUGAUUGGGCGUAAAGGGCGCGUAGGCGGCUUUAUAAGUCUGGAGUGAAAGUCCUGUUUUCAAGAUGGGAAUUGCUUUGGAUACUGUAGAGCUUGAGUGCAGGAGAGGUAAGUGGAAUUCCCAGUGUAGCGGUGAAAUGCGUAGAGAUUGGGAGGAACACCAGUGGCGAAGGCGACUUACUGGACUGUAACUGACGCUGAGGCGCGAAAGUGUGGGGAGCAAACAGGAUUAGAUACCCUGGUAGUCCACACCGUAAACGAUGAAUGCUAGGUGUAGGGGGUAUCGACCCCUUCUGUGCCGCAGUCAACACAAUAAGCAUUCCGCCUGGGGAGUACGGCCGCAAGGUUGAAACUCAAAUGAAUUGACGGGG